AGGACGAACGCUGGCGGCGCGCUUAACACAUGCAAGUCGAGCGAGAACCUGGCCUUCGGGCCUGGGGAAAGCGGCGAACGGGUGAGUAACACGUGGGUAACCCACCCUUGGUACCGGGAUAGCCCGAGGAAACUCGGAUUAAUACCGGAUGGCCCAACAGCUCUUCGGGGCGGUUGGAAAAGGUAGCUUCGGCCUCCGACCAAGGACGGGCCCGCGGCGGAUUAGCUUGUUGGUGAGGUAACGGCUCACCAAGGCGACGAUCCGUAGCUGGUCUGAGAGGACGAUCAGCCACACUGGGACUGAGACACGGCCCAGACUCCUACGGGAGGCAGCAGUGGGGAAUCUUGCGCAAUGGGCGAAAGCCUGACGCAGCGACGCCGCGUGGGGGAAGAAGGCUUUCGGGUUGUAAACCCCUUUCAGGAAGGACGAAGCCACUCGGGUGAAUAGCCCAGAGGGUGACGGUACUUCCAGAAGAAGCCCCGGCUAACUACGUGCCAGCAGCCGC
Molecule: ribosomal RNA, 505 nt
Filed under: uncultured bacterium
Lineage: Bacteria
Description: SSU rRNA
Rfam family: Bacterial small subunit ribosomal RNA
Source: RNAcentral